Molecule: long non-coding RNA, 1449 nt
Filed under: Heterocephalus glaber (naked mole-rat)
Lineage: Eukaryota; Metazoa; Chordata; Mammalia; Rodentia; Bathyergidae
Description: lncRNA (ENSHGLG00100036798.1)
Source: RNAcentral
UUCAGCACCCAGGUAGCAAUGGCAGAUGAUAAAACUGAUUAUAUUUGUUGAUUGUUGUUGGAAGUGUCCCUCUGGGGGGAGAUUAUAGCAACAGAUAACAGAACUGCCAACACAGAGGAAUCUGGGUCUCAGGGACUGACAUCUUUCAGGGUCACACUCCACCAGGGGUGGGGGAAGGCAAAAGAACAGGAAGAAGAGAGAAACUAACAAUUACUAAACAUCUACAAGAUGUUCAACUGCAUUAGUCACCUGGGGUUUUCUUUUUUAUUGUUUUGCGAUGUUUUUUUCAAUGCUGGGAUUUGAACCCAGGGCCCUGUGCAUACUGGGCAAGUGCUCUACCACUGAGCUACAUCUGCAAGUCAUCUGGAAAAUGCAAAAUUAAAACCACAGGGUAGACCUUGAUGUACACAAAAAAGCAAGAGUGAGAUGCAGAGAGUAGAUAUGACCCCUCCACACAUACACACACACACACAAAGCACACACAUGCACACCCUAUUUUGAUUGGGUCCCCAAAGACUAUGUUCCUGAGGAGCUUACAACUCACUGAGAGCAAGGGGAUCAGAUGCUUUAAGAAGAAUUUUGAUGGGGAAAAGAAUCCUAGGCUUAGAGAACCCCCAGGUCUGCCUCCCCAUCUUCUUUCUUAAACUGAAUCUGAAUUGACAAUUCAGCUGACUAGAAAAUGAAUUUCUCAAGCAUCUAGAACAUAGAUUUUCACAGUCCCACACCCUUUGGUGAGGUGCCUGGUGCAGAAGAAAGGAGAGUUGACCUGCUGUGUGACUUCAGGCCAGCGGCCUGGCCUCUCCUGAGCUUCUGUCUGAAAUGGGAAGAACAACAGCUGCUUCUUGAUCUAUUUCCUUUACCCAAGGGCUUAGUGUUUGGGGGAAAAAAUGGGGAUUCAUGUGCUAUGAUCAGAACCACUUCCUGAAGUUGUCAAUUCCCAUAAUGUAUGCAUUUGUGUAAUCACACUAGAGGUUAUAAGGUAUAUUUUAUAAUUAAGUCAUUAAAAAAGCUCUGCUAUGGUUGACCUGGUUAUAAAUAUUUUCUGGCAGCAGCAGCAGGGGAAAAAAAGUAUCUAACAUUACAUCUUAUCCAAAGAAAGAUAGUGGGAAAGCGAGGAAAGGAGCUCAGAAUCCUUGGGCCUUUCUGUUCCCUGUGGAGCAAGCGGUGUUUCCAAGAUGGAGAUGGAGACCAGGAAGAGCAAGGAUUCAUGGACAAUGACACUUCCUGAGGGACCUUUGGGCAGAGCCACCAGAAAGCUGAGAGGGUCAGGUGCCAGCUCCUGUCACCACCAUGCUCCUUGCUUGCCAGGGUCCCUGCACAGCCAAGCUGGAGAACAGGAUUUUUUUUUUUAAUGCACCUUGUUUGGCCUUUUCCUGCAUGCAGAGUUUGCAAGCUGCUUCUCCUGGGGCUGGGGCUGCCCACGGGGGUAAAGCACAGGAUGCAGCAGAC